This 3983-nucleotide long non-coding RNA is filed under the name Ananas comosus (pineapple). RNAcentral's name for it is "long non-coding RNA (ACOM_LNC026138)". Lineage: Eukaryota; Viridiplantae; Streptophyta; Magnoliopsida; Poales; Bromeliaceae. The record is from RNAcentral.
UUUAUUUUAUCUUAGAUAUUUUUAAUUAAUUUUUUUUAUAAAUAUUUUGCUUUAUACCUUAAAGCAUGUUUUACAAUAUCGUAUUAUGUGCUAAAUUUGUUCUCUAUUUUUAUUUGAAAUUUUGUUUUGUUUUUAGAUCAGAACAAUAGGUAUUAUGUUAGUUUUAGUAUUUUAAGUAUUUUGUAAUAUUUCAGUAGAAUAUUUGCCAAAUAAUUUUCUACACUCUACAGAACUUUUAUAACAAAAUCAGCCAAACACUCUACAACUUUUAGAAUAGCAUUAUGCCAAAUAGCUCAGCCAAACAGGACCACAAUGUUUCUUGGUAAAGCACUACUCAAAGAGCACCUCAUCAAUCUGCUACAGCUGGGCGGAAAACAAGCUUAAAUGUUUACCAAGACUGGGCAAUUUGAAGGCCUAAAGGAAUUACAAGGAAUUGAUUCGAAUCGUGAGAGAGGAAAGGAGAGGAGAGCUGAGUCUUGAGAGUGGAAAGGAGAUGUUACCUGAAUUUCCAUCUAAGUGAUAAGUUGAAUCUGAGUCUCUUUAACUUGGUUUUUUUUUUGGCUUUUCUUAGUCGUCCAAUAUUUUUCCCUGAAAAAUAUGAUAUAUACUAUUCUAUGGUAACAUAUACACUACGUUCUUCUUUAGGAAUGGCUAUGCUUUUCUUCUUCCUUAGCAAUGUUUGGCAAAAGAAAAAGGAUAAUCUGAGUUAGCACCUAUUUAUCCCCUAAUCAUGAAGUGCCCCAUUCUUUCGGUAUGUUAUUUCUGAAUUCUUUCUGCAUUUUUUGGAUCCCUUAAACUGUUGUGCACCAUUUCUUAAAAAUAUUAUUAUUUCUCGUAAGCAUAGUGAAGUGGUGCAUUUCAAGGUGCAUCUCCUAAAUACAUAGCAUUGUUUUCUGACAAGAACUUCCAUUAUCAUGCAUGCACGCUUGUCUAGUGUUUAGUCUGAUCUUUGCAUUAUUGCUUAAGAAAAGACCCAUGACUUCAUAAUAUUUGCUAUCAUGACAGAUCCUUAUUCUGCUGCAAUUGGACUCCAUGACUUGGAUGCUAUCUAUUGUUGAAAUUUGGAUCAAGGACCCUCCUUGUCGAGGCAAGAUGAAAGCCCUAGGCUACUUCUUGGUGCUAAAAUCCUAUAAUUGCUUCAUCGACAGGUGCAAUUUGAUUUUUCUGCAUUACUAGACCGAAAAUUAUUUGGUGUUAAUUGGCAAUGUCAGUUUGCUUCAAUCCUUUUUCCUAUAGGUUGUUGCAUUCCUUUUAUAUCCUAAAAUAUGCAAGUUUACUAUAUCGUUCUUCCUAUAUAUGAUUAGAGUCUGUCUAUGUUUCAAAGAAAGCGCAGGAGAUCAGAAAAGAUAUACGCAUACUACCCAAUUCUCUUAGUCUAAUUCUUGCUUUAUUACUGAAGAAAAGACCCAUGAGUUUAUAAUAUUUUCUAUCAUGGCAGAUCUUUAUUCUGCAGCAAUCAGACCUCAUUACUUGGGAUGCAUUUACUGUUGAAAUUUGGAUCAACAGCCAGGGCAAGAGCAAAGCCCUAAGAUAAUUUGUUGUUGGUUAUCCUAAAACUGUAGAAAUGCUAUUUGAAUUUUUUUACAUUACUAGAGCGAAAAUUUCUUGGCAUCAGUUUGCAGUGUUGGUUUAGUUCAAUGCUUUUUUUUUUUUGCAUGUUGUUGGGUUCGUUUUAUAUCCUAAACUACGCCGCUUUACCAUAUGAUUCUUCCUGGAGUAUGGUUCUUCUACCUGCUUUAUACUUUGCUUAGGUUAUGUUCGGAUGUAUGAAUAUUUUGUUUGAUGUAUAAAUUUUUUGGAAUAAGAUAAAUUAUUUCUUAGGUGAAAUGUGUUUUUCUUACCAAAUAAUAGAUGUCAAAUUUUUUAAGGAGCAAAAAUCAAAUUCCCACCCUUCAACUAUGCAAGAAAAUCUGCAUACUAAGAAAUAUCCAAACAAGGCCUUAAUGAGAUAAAUAUUUCCUACGCCAUAUCUGAAUGCCAAAAUAAGAUAUCCAAUGAUAAUUUAUCUUAUAUGAUGAUUUUUUUGUGUGGUUAAAGGUUAGAAGUUUAAUUUUUGCUCCUUAAGGUCUUGUGUGGAUGAAUGAAUAUCUUAUUCGGUGUGUCUCAUUGAUUGACUUAAGAAAUUUGUAUAGUUGAUUGAUAAAGAGUGUGAUCAAAUAUUUAGAAUGGAAUAUUGAUCUUCAAAUUAUUUUUCAGAAUAAGAUAAAUCAUCUCUUAGGUGAACUAUGCUAUCCUACCGAAUUAUAGAUAACAAAAUUACUAAAGAAGUAAAAAAUUCAAAUUCCUUACUUAUAAUCAUAUUAGAAACUUCUCAUAUGGAAUAAGCUGUCCUUGGAUAACUUACUCUAACAUCCAAACAUGGCCUAAAAGGUCUUGAUAUUCAUAAUUUGUUAGGAUAUCAUAUUUCACUUACUAGGUAAUUUUAUAAUGUUCGGAAGAAAAGAUUUUAAGGCCAAAUGUGGUGUCUAUUCUAGGCAGUUGGUCACACUCCUUAUAUUCCAAAUACUACAUUCUUCUUAGGCUAAAUUACAGAAAAUUUUCUUGUCAAAAUUCGAUUUUUCACUUUCCUCCCUGUCAUUUAAAAACCUAUACUUUGCCCCCUUGCAAAAUGAAAAAUGUUCAUAAAGAGGGUACGGUGUGAACUGUGAUGAUAAAAUGACGAUUUUGCCCCUUACCAUAUUCACAGGAGAGAAGACUGAGGGCAUUUUUGGCAUAAAAAAAUGGCUAAAUUACAUAAAACCUUUCUGUCAAAAUUUGAUUUUUCACUUUCCCUUCCUGUCAUUUAAAAACCUACACUUUGCCCCCUUGUAAAAUGAAAAAUGUUCACUUCAUCCCCUGCCGUUAGUAAUCCGUGAGGAUUCCGUUUAUAAAAUAUUAUUAUGUAUUUUUUUAUGCCAAAAAUGUCCUUAGUCUUCUCUCCUGUGAACAUGGUGAGGGGUAAAAUGGUGAGGGGCAAAAUGAUCAUUUUAUCAUCAUAGUUCACACCGUACCCUCCUAUGAACAUUUUUCAUUUUACAAGGGGGCAAACUGUAGGUUUUUAAAUGACAGGGGAGGAAGUGGAAAAUCGAAUUUUGACAGGGGGGUUUUCUGUAAUUUAGCCUAAAAAAAUAUAUAAUAAUAUUUUAUAAACGGAAUCCUAACGGAUUACUAACGACAGGGGGCGAAGUGAACAUUUUUCAUUUUACAAGAGGGCAAAGUGUAGGUUUUUAAAUGACAGAGGGAAAAGUGAAAAAUUGAGUUUUGACAGGAGGAUUUUAUGUAAUUUAGCCUUCUUCUUAAGUGAAUUGAGGUGAUAUAUUGCAUAAGAUAUUCUUGCAUCGAGACAAGGCCUUAGCAAUGGAAAAUAUCUUUUGUCUAUAAGCCAUGUUGAGUUGGGACUAUUUUAUUUUGUUGCUUUUUCAUGGGCCACUAGUUAAGGGGACCCGCGCGAUGCGGUGGAAAGCCAAUAUAAUAGUAAACUAUUAUAACUAUUAACAUCACUUUUUUUCCUAUUAUGCAUUAAUACUUUUAAAUAUUAUUUAUCUCAGUAUUGAAUAAUUGAAAAUUAAAGAAUAAAAUUAAAUUAUAUUUCUUUCUAGAAAUAUUUAAACCUAAUAAGUAAAAUGAAUAAAUCAGUUUAAAAUAAAACAAAAGCUCAUUACAGUAUUAAAAAGAUGAAUAAUAUUUUCUAUUAUUAUCAAGAUAGAAUUUACAAAUAAAAAAAUAUUAAAAAAUUAAUUGAAGCGAAAGUAUUAUCUUUGGUAUUCUUAGCGAUAACGUCUUUAUUGUGCCCUCGUUAACUUUUAUCGUCACGCAUAUAACUAAUAAAGUAUUUGAUUCCUAAAUUUUAGAUUAGUGCAGAAAUCAGUAGAUAAUUAUCAAAAGCACAAAAAAUAAGAUUAAUCAAAUGGCAUUCGAAAUCAAAAUAGAAAUUUUUACACUGUAAAAAGAUUCAACUACCAAAUAAAUAUUCUAAUAUUAUAUAUUAGGAAAAAAAUAAAUUC